AUGGCAAUUCUGCUGAAAACAGCGUCAGUCCGGGUUAGUUCCAUUCAAAUCAUACAAGUUAGAGUCCAAAACAAGGGCAAAAGUGUUUGGAAAAGUAGAUACAACGGAGACGUAUCAACUCCCCCAAGCUUAAACCCUUCCUUGUCCUCAAGCAAUUCAGUUGACAAACUGAAACAGAAAAAGAAAAAACUUUUACAAACUCUGUUUGCUCUUGUUGUUGUAGACAUGAAAAGCCAGCAUUCAAGUUUCAGCAAAUAUUAUGAACUAACCAUUCUCACAAUAACACAAAGGUCUCACAAUUACUCAUAUCAAUAG
RNAcentral lists this ribosomal RNA (315 nucleotides) under Triticum aestivum (bread wheat). RNAcentral's name for it is "partial small subunit ribosomal RNA". The record is from RNAcentral. Lineage: Eukaryota; Viridiplantae; Streptophyta; Magnoliopsida; Poales; Poaceae.